This 657-nucleotide ribosomal RNA is filed under the name uncultured soil bacterium. RNAcentral describes it as "bacterial SSU rRNA". It matches the Rfam family "Bacterial small subunit ribosomal RNA", at positions 65 to 758 of the family's 1533-position model. The record is from RNAcentral.
AACGAUAAGCCACCUUCGGGUGGUGGACAGUGGCAGACGGGUGAGUAACGCGUGGGAACGUGCCUUUCGGUUCGGGAUAACCCAGGGAAACUUGGGCUAAUACCGGAUACGCCCUUCGGGGGAAAGAUUCAUUGCCGAAAGAUCGGCCCGCGUCGGAUUAGCUUGUUGGUGGGGUAAUGGCCUACCAAGGCGACGAUCCGUAGCUGGUCUGAGAGGAUGACCAGCCACACUGGGACUGAGACACGGCCCAGACUCCUACGGGAGGCAGCAGUGGGGAAUAUUGGACAAUGGGCGAAAGCCUGAUCCAGCCAUGCCGCGUGGGUGAAGAAGGCCUUAGGGUUGUAAACCCCUUUCAGCGGGGACGAUAAUGACGGUACCCGCAGAAGAAGUCCCGGCUAACUCCGUGCCAGCAGCCGCGGUAAUACGGAGGGGACUAGCGUUGUUCGGAAUUACUGGGCGUAAAGCGCACGUAGGCGGAUUUGUAAGUCAGGGGUGAAAUCCCGAGGCUCAACCUCGGAACUGCCUUUGAUACUGCAAAUCUCGAGUCCGGAAGAGGUGAGUGGUAUUCCUAGUGUAGAGGUGAAAUUCGUAGAUAUUAGGAAGAACACCAGUGGCGAAGGCGGCUCACUGGUCCGGUACUGACGCUGAGGUGCGAAA